UACGUAGGGGGCAAGCGUUGUCCGGAUUUAUUGGGCGUAAAGCGCGCGCAGGCGGUCCUUUAAGUCUGAUGUGAAAUCUUGCGGCUUAACCGUAAGCGGUCAUUAGAAACUGGAGGACUUGAGUGCAGAAGAGGAGAGUGGAAUUCCACGUGUAGCGGUGAAAUGCGUAGAGAUGUGGAGGAACACCAGUGGCGAAGGCGACUUUCUGGUCUGUAACUGACGCUGAGGCGCGAAAGCGUGGGGAGCAAACAGG
RNAcentral lists this ribosomal RNA (253 nucleotides) under uncultured bacterium. Its description in RNAcentral is "partial 16S ribosomal RNA". It matches the Rfam family "Bacterial small subunit ribosomal RNA", at positions 524 to 776 of the family's 1533-position model. The record is from RNAcentral.